This 1195-nucleotide long non-coding RNA is filed under the name Nicotiana benthamiana. RNAcentral's name for it is "long non-coding RNA (NBEN_LNC008878)". Lineage: Eukaryota; Viridiplantae; Streptophyta; Magnoliopsida; Solanales; Solanaceae. The record is from RNAcentral.
GUGGAUAUGGCACGAGAAGCUAAGAUAAGUCAAAUUACCCUUUGACCUUUUUUCUUACUGUAAAUGCCACCCACUGAUCUAUUUUAAAUAAAGCAGGGAGCAUCUAACUGAUAUAAUAAUAUAGCACCAAUCAGAGCAGAUAACGCCAAUAUGCUUCCACAUCAACGAGACUAACAUUCUUUACUGUCACCUCUCUUGGAUAGGACUCUUACAACAAGAAUAGCAGAGUAAAAUGAAUAUAAAUUAAGAGAAAAGAAACAAAAGCAAUUGUUCAAGUGGAGGGAGCUGCAACUGUGCAUAGAAGAUACAUAGAAACAUAUUAUACACAAAACAAUCUGGACAAGCUACAAAGAAUGAUCCAACAUUUUAACAGGUCUAUCAAGGUGUGGAAAGGAGAAAAAAUCAAGGUAUCAUGCCGGACUCAAAGUCUGACUACCAAAUAUGUACUCAAUGCAUGUAUCGCCCAUAUUAUGGGUAUUCUGACAGUAUUCACGUGUCUCUUACAGGGGAAAGUGACAAGUACGUGAGGGCACAAUGAAGGGCAGAAAUACCAUUGCACAUAGGACUAAAGCCAACAGUGUCUCUCUCCUCAACGCGUGAUACCAUUUGCAUUAAGUUCCAAAUCAGAGCAUCGCACAAAGGAAUCAAUCAAAAUACUCUUAGCAGCAUACCUGUUAUAUCAAUCUUAUGUGAGAUUCCAGCAGCAGUCAAAGACUUUGAGAUUAACUUGGCAACUUCUUCAUAUUGUUGAUUCUGAACCAGUGGAAAAACAGUGCAUUUGAUGGGAGCCACUAGUGGUGGGAAGCGGAACACAUUUAGUUGCUCAUCUCCACCUUUACUCGGCCUUGUGUAGAAUGAAUGCUCAUAAAGACAAUAUAUUAUCCGGCCAAUUCCAAAUGAGGGCUCAAUCACUGAAGGUGUAAACACCCUUUGGUGCUCUUUCUUUUUCUCCUUGGAAAUAGAGACCAUGCUUUUCUUAAUGGUGACAUUCUUCCCGAGAGUACAUACAUGGAACCCCACCUCCCCCUUGGAUUCCAGAUCAGCCUUCAUCUCCAUAGCCACCUUUUCUUCCAUUGCACAUUUGAUGGGGGCCACUAGUGGUGGGAAGCGGAACACAUUUAGUUGCUCAUCUCCACCUUUACUCGGCCUUGUGUAGAAUGAAUGCUCAUAAAGACAAUAUAUUAUCCGGCCAAUU